CAAGUCGAGGGGCAGCAUGGUGUAGCAAUACACUGAUGGCGACCGGCAAACGGGUGCGGAACGCGUACAGAACCUUCCUUCGAGCGGGGAAUAGCCCAGAGAAAUUUGGAUUAAUACCCCAUAGUAUAACAGAGAGGCAUCUCUUUGUUAUUAAAGAUUUAUCACUUGAAGAUGGCUGUGCGGCUGAUUAGGUAGUUGGCGGGGUAACGGCCCACCAAGCCUAUGAUCAGUAACUGGUGUGAGAGCACGACCAGUCACACGGGCACUGAGACACGGGCCCGACUCCUACGGGAGGCAGCAGUAAGGAAUAUUGGUCAAUGGACGAAAGUCUGAACCAGCCAUGCCGCGUGAAGGAUGAAGGUCCUCUGGAUUGUAAACUUCUUUUAUAUGGGACGAAAAUGGGCCUUUCUAGGUCAACUGACGGUACCAUAAGAAUAAGCACCGGCUAACUCCGUGCCAGCAGCCGCGGUAAUACGGAGGGUGCAAGCGUUAUCCGGAUUCACUGGGUUUAAAGGGUGCGUAGGUGGGUUGGUAAGUCAGUGGUGAAAUCCCCGAGCUUAACUCGGGAACUGCCAUUGAUACUAUCAGUCUUGAAUAUCGUGGAGGUCAGCGGAAUAUGUCAUGUAGCGGUGAAAUGCUUAGAUAUGACAUAGAACACCAAUUGCGAAGGCAGCUGGCUACCCGAAUAUUGACACUGAGGCACGAAAGCGUGGGGAUCAAACAGGAUUAGAUACCCUGGUAGUCCACGCCCUAAACUAUGGAUACUCGACAUAUGCGAUAAACUGUAUGUGUCUGAGCGAAAGCAUUAAGUAUCCCGCCUGGGAAGUACGACCGCAAGGUUGAAACUCAAAGGAAUUGGCGG
Molecule: ribosomal RNA, 862 nt
Filed under: uncultured bacterium
Lineage: Bacteria
Description: bacterial SSU rRNA
Rfam family: Bacterial small subunit ribosomal RNA
Source: RNAcentral